This 1483-nucleotide long non-coding RNA is filed under the name Phaseolus vulgaris (common bean). RNAcentral describes it as "long non-coding RNA (PVUL_LNC004848)". The record is from RNAcentral. Lineage: Eukaryota; Viridiplantae; Streptophyta; Magnoliopsida; Fabales; Fabaceae.
UAAAACGAUAAAUAAUAAAAAAAAAAGAUUAGUGAAAAUAUUGGAAAUGUUAGUUAAGAUGGCAUUAUGUCGUUAUCCGAAAGCUUACGGACUAAUGACUUAAGAUAGUGACAGGCAUCUGUUUAUGUAAGCAGUUCUUUUCUUUUCUGUUUCUAUCUCUGUUCCUUCUAAACUACUUUUUUUUUUCAUUUUUUACUUUUUUUUUAUCUUUUUCAAGAAGAGAUCGUAUAGAACAACUUUGUUGGAUCAUAAUUAAAUAUAGAGUAACUUCAUUUGUUUCCUAAGAUCUCUCUAGUCUUGAUUCUUUAGUUUUGACAUUUUAUUGGUUUUGUCAUAUGAGAAAUAAUACUCUCUUAAUUAGUUAAACCUUAGAAAGUUUAACUAAAUGCUUUGGCAUGGCAGUGUUGCUGGUUUUGCGUGUGGAAACCUUAUUGGUGCUAAGACAGCUUUUGCUUUUUGUGGUGUGUGCGUGGAGGAAACCUUGGAUUGGUGAUUCAACAACGUUGUGCCUUUGGUUCGGUGCAGUGUGUUCGGUUUUUGGUGCGUGCGAGGUGGGUCUUGGAUUCUCGUCGCAUUUGGGCGGUGCUUUGUCGGUGGGGUUGUUCUUGUUGUUGGCUGGCGUUCUGGUUCUUGUUUGAGGGUUGUUGUCUUGGGUUUGGUUUCCUGGUCGGUGUUUCUUGUUUUGUUUCGGGGUCGGUUUGGGAGGUGCUGGCGCUUCUCUUUGGGUGGGGCGUUGGUUGUUUAGGUUCCAAGAGUCCAAGCGGCUACUUUUGCUUCUCUUGGGCGAAUAGGUUUGGAUUUUCAAAUUAAGAACUAAGCGCUGGUGUGCGGCCAGUGCGAAGGGUUUCGGAAUUGCGUUCUUGUUCCUGUCCAAGCUGGUGCGUGGCUGGUCUUGUGCAUUAUAGUGAAGGUUUCAAGGUAACACGUGUGGUGCUGCAGGAGGUGCUGGUGUGUGGCCGUGUGUGGUCCACUUUGGAGGCGUAGAUUGGUAGCAUUUGAGAAUGGUAGAGUUCUUUGUGGGUUUAGUCAUCCGAUGUGGCUGUUUGAAGGAUAGAGAUGUGGCUCCUAUUAAGAAAGUAAUGACGUGUUAAUGGAAAACAUUUGCUUAAGUUUUCGGCAGCACAUGUCAUAUUCGUUUGUCCCAAGUAUCGAAACAUAGUUAUUGAAUCUACAGGUCUGAUUAUUUUAUCUAAGAAUAAUCUCUCACAUACAAUAAUUUAUCUAAAAAGUUGCGGUAUGGGAAUGGGAAUGGGAAGACUACUAGACCGUGGAAAACAACAAUAUUCUUUAAUAUAGGUGGAAGACUUAGACUCUGGAAAACAACAAUAUUCUUUCUUGGAAGAGUUUCUAUGAAUUUGAGUUUUUUUUAGAAAACAUAUAAUUGAAUCUUAACGAUAGAUUUAUUGCGGUUAUUUCUUGAUCUUUUAAGAUUAUUUGCUUGAACUUUAUGUAAUGGAGUGUGUCUGGAUUAAUGAGAUUCUUG